This 396-nucleotide ribosomal RNA is filed under the name uncultured bacterium. Its description in RNAcentral is "bacterial SSU rRNA". It matches the Rfam family "Bacterial small subunit ribosomal RNA", at positions 30 to 426 of the family's 1533-position model. The record is from RNAcentral.
AUUGAACGCUGGCGGCAUGCCUUACACAUGCAAGUCGAACGGCAGCACGGGAGCAAUCCUGGUGGCGAGUGGCGAACGGGUGAGUAAUAUAUCGGAACGUGCCCAGUCGUGGGGAUAACGUAGCGAAAGCUACGCUAAUACCGCAUACGAUCUAUGGAUGAAAGCGGGGGAUCGCAGGACCUCGCGCGAUUGGAGCGGCCGAUAUCAGAUUAGGUAGUUGGUGAGGUAAAGGCUCACCAAGCCGACGAUCUGUAGCUGGUCUGAGAGGACGACCAGCCACACUGGGACUGAGACACGGCCCAGACUCCUACGGGAGGCAGCAGUGGGGAAUUUUUGGACAAUGGGCGCAAGCCUGAUCCAGCAAUGCCGCGUGCAGGAUGAAGGCCUUCGGUUGGU